RNAcentral lists this ribosomal RNA (497 nucleotides) under uncultured bacterium. Its description in RNAcentral is "partial 16S ribosomal RNA". It matches the Rfam family "Bacterial small subunit ribosomal RNA", at positions 28 to 507 of the family's 1533-position model. The record is from RNAcentral.
GAUGAACGCUGGCGGCGUGCCUAAUACAUGCAAGUCGAGCGAACGGACGAGAAGCUUGCUUCUCUGAUGUUAGCGGCGGACGGGUGAGUAACACGUGGAUAACCUACCUAUAAGACUGGGAUAACUUCGGGAAACCGGAGCUAAUACCGGAUAAUAUUUUGAACCGCAUGGUUCAAAAGUAAAAGACGGUCUUGCUGUCACUUAUAGAUGGAUCCGCGCUGCAUUAGCUAGUUGGUAAGGUAACGGCUUACCAAGGCAACGAUGCAUAGCCGACCUGAGAGGGUGAUCGGCCACACUGCAACUGAGACACGGUCCAGACUCCUACGGGAGGCAGCAGUAGGGAAUCUUCCGCAAUGGGCGAAAGCCUGACGGAGCAACGCCGCGUGAGUGAUGAAGGUCUUCGGAUCGUAAAACUCUGUUAUUAGGGAAGAACAUAUGUGUAAGUAACUGUGCACAUCUUGACGGUACCUAAUCAGAAAGCCACGGCUAACUACGUG